AACGCCGCAGGCCCGCAGAGGGCUGUCGCCUGCGCCUCCCGCGAGAACCAGUCCCCCCCGUUGCCUCGGGGGCGCGCCGCGCCGCGUGCCGGAGCGCCCCCGCGGGCCCCACCACGCCGCUGUACCGGACACUCUGAGACCCCACAGAACGUUACAACUUUCAGCAACGGAUCUCUUGGCUCUGGCAACGAUGAAGGACGCAGCGAAAUGCGAUACGUAAUGCGAAUUGCAGAUCUCCGCGAGUCAUCGAAUCUCUGAACGCACAUUGCGCCCGCCGGAUCUCCCCGGCGGGCACGCCCGUCCGAGCGUCACCUACCCCCCCCCCGAGCCCCGCUCGGUGUUGGGACCCCGCGGCCGCCGCGGGGCCCCCAAAUCCAGCGGCGGCGGCCCCGCGGAUCCCCUGGCGAAGCAGACAGCCUGCGCCUCGGGACGCGGCGGUCGCCCCCGACCCAACCCCAAUGACCUCGGAUCGGGCGGGACGACCCGCUGAACUUAAGCAUAUCAAUAAGCGGAGGAAAAGAAACCAACAGGGAUGGCCCCAGUAGCGGCGAGCGAAGCGGCCACAGCCCAGAUUUGAAAGCUGGCCCCCUGCGGGGCCCGCGUUGUAAUCUGCAGAGGACGCCUCGGGGGCGGCGGCGCGCGAAGUCCCCUGGAACGGGGCGCCACAGAGGGUAACAGCCCCGUGCGCGCGGCGCCCGCCUCCGUGCGAGGCUCCUUCGACGAGUCGAGUAGUUUGGGAAUGCUGCUCCAAGCGGGAGGUAAAUUCCUUCCAAGGCUAAACACCCGCCAGAGACCGAUAGCGCACAAGUAGUGUAAACGAAAGAUGAAAAGCACCCUGGAGAGAGGGUUAAACAGAACGUGAAAUUGCUGAAAGGGAAGCGCCGGCGGCCAGACGCGGGCCCCGUGGCUUGGCCGGCCCUCGCGGCCGGUGUACUCCACGGCGGCCCGGGCCAGCACCGGCUCCUGCGGGCACGGAAGGGCGCCGGGAACGUGGCUCCCCCG
RNAcentral lists this ribosomal RNA (1002 nucleotides) under Sordariomycetes sp. genotype 387. Its description in RNAcentral is "eukaryotic LSU rRNA". The stretch from base 460 to 1002 matches the Rfam family "Eukaryotic large subunit ribosomal RNA", at positions 1 to 547 of the family's 3401-position model. The record is from RNAcentral. Lineage: Eukaryota; Fungi; Ascomycota; Sordariomycetes.